Molecule: ribosomal RNA, 325 nt
Filed under: uncultured bacterium
Lineage: Bacteria
Description: bacterial SSU rRNA
Rfam family: Bacterial small subunit ribosomal RNA
Source: RNAcentral
AGAGUUUGAUUAUGGCUCAGGAUGAACGCUGGCGGCGUGCCUAAUACAUGCAAGUCGAACGAAUCUCUUUUAGAGAUGAGUGGCGAACGGGUGAGUAAUACAUAGGUAACCUGCCCCUGUGCGGGGGAUAACAGGAGGAAACUCCUGCUAAUACCGCAUAGCCAUGAGCACCGCAUGGAGCUCAUGCCAAAUAUCCUUUCGGGGAUAGCGCAGGGAUGGACCUAUGGCGCAUUAGCUGGUUGGCGGGGCAACGGCCCACCAAGGCAACGAUGCGUAGCCGGCCUGAGAGGGCGGACGGCCACAUUGGGACUGAGACACGGCCCAG